UACGUAGGGGGCGAGCGUUGUCCGGAUUUAUUGGGCGUAAAGCGCGCGCAGGCGGUUCGUUAAGUCCGAUGUGAAAGCUCCCGGCUCAACUGGGAGAGGUCUUCGGAUACUGGCGAACUCGAGGGAGGCAGAGGAAGGUGGAAUUCCGGGUGUAGUGGUGAAAUGCGUAGAGAUCCGGAGGAACACCAGUGGCGAAGGCGGCCUUCUGGGCCUUUCCUGACGCUGAGGCGCGAAAGCGUGGGGAGCAAACAGG
This 253-nucleotide ribosomal RNA is filed under the name uncultured bacterium. Its description in RNAcentral is "partial 16S ribosomal RNA". It matches the Rfam family "Bacterial small subunit ribosomal RNA", at positions 524 to 776 of the family's 1533-position model. The record is from RNAcentral.